GAGACUCUGUGCGCGUGCAUAUCAAUAAGCGGAGGAAAAGAAACUAACAAGGAUUCCCCUAGUAACGGCGAGUGAAGCGGGAAGAGCUCAAAUUUGAAAUCUUAAAGGGUUUCCCUUUACGAAUUGUAGUUUAAAGAAGUGUUUUCUGUUGGAGUUUCGGUAAAAGUUCUUUGGAAUAGGACAUCAUAGAGGGUGAGAAUCCCGUAUUUGAUCCGUUACUUUCCAGCUGUGUGAUACACUUUCAAAGAGUCGGAUUGUUUGGGAAUGCAGUCCAAGAUGGGUGGUAAAUUUCAUCUAAAGCUAAAUAUUGGCGAGAGACCGAUAGCGAACAAGUACCGUGAGGGAAAGAUGAAAAGAACUUUGAAAAGAGAGUUAAACAGUACGUGAAAUUGUCAAAAGGGAAGCGUUUGACACCAGUGUUGUUUAGUUGAAAAUCAAUUCAAUAGUUUUUGAUUCUAAGUAGUAUUGACUUCAUCAGCUUGCUGCUUUCUUCUCAGAAAUUAUUGAAUGCACUUUUCAGUUAACAAGUCAACAUCAAUUUCUUUUGUUGUAAAAGGGUAAGAGGAAGGUGGCUUGCGCUUCGGCUCAAGUGUUUAUAGCCUUUUAUCUCUGCAAUCGGAGAGAUUGAGGUCUGCAGCGUAGAUCCUUCGGGGUUAGAUACAUUGGUGCUAAGCUAUAGCCUUGUAUAGACAACUUGUUGACUAUGCUCAGUCAUGUAGCUUACUCGCUGAUGCUAUUUUACCUACGCUUAGGAUGUUGACAGCAGUAUAGACUGU
RNAcentral lists this ribosomal RNA (776 nucleotides) under uncultured Neocallimastigales. RNAcentral describes it as "partial large subunit ribosomal RNA". It matches the Rfam family "Eukaryotic large subunit ribosomal RNA", at positions 23 to 638 of the family's 3401-position model. Lineage: Eukaryota; Fungi; Neocallimastigomycota; Neocallimastigomycetes; Neocallimastigales. The record is from RNAcentral.